Molecule: long non-coding RNA, 1101 nt
Filed under: Homarus americanus (American lobster)
Lineage: Eukaryota; Metazoa; Arthropoda; Malacostraca; Decapoda; Nephropidae
Description: uncharacterized LOC121853720, transcript variant X3
Source: RNAcentral
AUUAUAGUAUAGCUAUUGGUCACAUUUCCAGGAAGCUUCAAGGAACAACAACACAUCUCCAUGGCAAGCUCAGACUCGACCGUACAGACCCGUCCGGUCUCGUCUACGACUCCGUUAACUGAGAAACGCCGCCGACCCGCGGGAGGCACUUUCCCCAUCAAUGCCUAAAGUGGACCUGAACCUUUGGACCUGAUGUGAACUAGAAUGAAGCUGGCUGGACCUCAAGUACUCUGUGGAAGCUUCAAGGACCAACAACACAUCUCGGUAUGACAAGUUGAGACUCGACCGUACAGACCCGUCCGGUCUCGCAUACGACGCCGUUAACGGCAAACGGAGAAACGACGCCGCUGACCCGCGGGAGGUACUUUCUCCAUCACUGCCAAAAGUGGACCUGAAAUUUUGGACCUGAUGUGAACUAGAAUGAAGUUGGCUGGAUAUAAAGUUAACUGGACCUGCAGCGAAGUGGACCUGAAGCUAACUGGACCUCAAGUAGUCUGUGAGUUCUUAAGCGAAAAUUCACUUUCCGUGGGGCAAUGUUGACAUCCCACAACACCCAGCCAGGAGUGAUGGGACCCCGAGCAGUUAUUUUCGUAAGGCACUUUCUCCAACACUGCCUACAGUGGACCUGAUGUGAACUAGAAUGAAGUUGGCUGGACAUGAAAUUUACUGGACCUCAAGUAGUCUGUGGAAGCUUUAAGGACCAACAACACAUCUCGGUACGACAAGUGGAGACUCGACCGUACAGACCCGUCCGGUCUCGCACACGACGCCGUUAACGGCAAACGGAGAAACGCCGCCGCCGCCGACCCGCGGGAGGUACUUUCUCCAUCACUGCCUAAAGUGGACCUGAUGUGAACUAGAAUGAAGUUGGCUGGACCUGCAGUGAAGUGGACCUGAAGCUAACUGGACCUCAAGUAGUCUGUGGAAGCUUCAAGGACCAACAACACAUCUCGGUACGACAAGUCGAGACUCGACCGUACAGACCCGUCCGGUCUCGCACACGACGCCGUUAACGGCAAACGGAGAAACGCCGCUGGGAGGCACUUUCUCCAACACUGCCUACAGUGGACCUGAUGUGAACUAGAAUGAAGUUGGCUGGAC